UGGGGAAUUUUGGACAAUGGGGGCAACCCUGAUCCAGCCAUCCCGCGUGUGCGAUGAAGGCCUUCGGGUUAUAAAGCACUUUUGGCAGGGAAGAAACAGCCUGGGCUAAUAUCCCGGGCGACUGACGGUACCUGCAGAAUAAGCACCGGCUAACUACGUGCCAGCAGCCGCGGUAAUACGUAGGGUGCAAGCGUUAAUCGGAAUUACUGGGCGUAAAGCGUGCGCAGGCGGUUCGGAAAGAAAGGUGUGAAAUCCCAGGGCUUAACCUUGGAACUGCACUUUUAACUACCGGGCUAGAGUACGUCAGAGGGGGGUAGAAUUCCACGUGUAGCAGUGAAAUGCGUAGAGAUGUGGAGGAAUACCGAUGGCGAAGGCAGCCCCCUGGGAUGAUACUGACGCUCAUGCACGAAAGCGUGGGGAGCAAACA
RNAcentral lists this ribosomal RNA (427 nucleotides) under uncultured bacterium. RNAcentral's name for it is "bacterial SSU rRNA". It matches the Rfam family "Bacterial small subunit ribosomal RNA", at positions 355 to 774 of the family's 1533-position model. The record is from RNAcentral.